Molecule: ribosomal RNA, 497 nt
Filed under: uncultured bacterium
Lineage: Bacteria
Description: partial 16S ribosomal RNA
Rfam family: Bacterial small subunit ribosomal RNA
Source: RNAcentral
GGGGGGGGGGGGGGGGGGGGGGGGGGGGGGGGAGGGGGGGGGAGGGGCGGGGGGGUGGCGCCUGUGGCGGUGGCGGCGGGCGGGUGAGUAGCACGUGGGUAACCUACCUAUAAGACUGGGGUAACUUCGGGAAGCCGGAGCUAAUACCGGAUAAUAUAUUGAACCGCAUGGUUCAAUAGUGGAAGACGGUUUUGCUGUCACUUAUCGAGUGAUCCCCGCCGCAUUAGCUAGUUGGUAAGGUAACGGCUUACCAAGGCAACGAUGCGUAUCCGACCUGAGAGGGUGAUCGGCCACACUGGAACUGAGACACGGUCCAGACUCCUACGGGAGGCAGCAGUAGGGAAUCUUCCGCAAUGGGCGAAAGCCUGACGGAGCAACGCCGCGUGAGUGAUGAAGGUCUUCGGAUCGUAAAACUCUGUUAUUAGGGAAGAACAAAUGUGUAAGUAACUAUGCACGUCUUGACGGUACCUAAUCAGAAAGCCACGGCUAACUACGUG